Long non-coding RNA from Centruroides sculpturatus (bark scorpion), 576 nucleotides. RefSeq lists it as uncharacterized. The record is from RefSeq and is a predicted model, not a curated record. NCBI's taxonomy places the organism in Eukaryota, Metazoa, Arthropoda, Arachnida, Scorpiones, Buthidae. The transcript has 4 exons.
CUUUAAUUAUAUUUCCAGUGAUUUUCUCUCUUAUUAUAGGAGAUAUUUAUGGAAAGAGUUUCGAUUUCCAACAAUUGUUGAAAUUAUCAACGAUUAAGAAGAGAGCUGAAGAAAAUAUCUUGGAAAAUAUACUGGAUACUGAAUUAGAUUCCACACCAUGCCCCGUUAUUGAAUGUCUGAUAAUAACAGAUAGUGCCUACGCUGCAAGAUUUGAUAACGAAGAAGAAAUUACGAUUAUAUAAAUGAUAUAAUUAGUGGAACACAAAAUACUAUCGAUGAAUUAGAACUUAGUAUAACACUUCGUUUGAUUGGACGUAUCUCGUAUACAACGUAAAAUAUUUACACGCAUUCCAAGACCAGGAGAUAAUUUUGCAACAGAAUCUAAGAGUAGUAAAUUUAGCAUUUUUAAUUAAAUUAUUCACUUCAAUAAGAUUUCUAAUUUCAUAUUCUUUUUAAAAAAUUAUUUGAAGACAUGGGUUGGGUGCGAGGUGCUUGCGAUUCGGACAUAAAAUUUGCGAUGGUGAGCGAUGACCGUCAUCUGUCUUCGACAAUUGAUAACUUUGUUUACCAAUUAGG